AUGAGAAGCUGAUUGUACAGAAAGCGACACGAAACUGCUAGAUUUAUUUACAUUGCCGAGUGAUUCUUAUGUGCAGAAAAAGUAAAAAUAAAAAGAAAGUUAGUAAAGUGCGUGCAUAGGGUUAUUUCUUGAUGUGCGCCGGUUUCUAGUUCAAGAAUUUGGACGUGCGUACGUUUUAUUUGGCUACAGUGGAAUCAGCUAACAUUUGGACAGUAACACGUUAGGCGUGUGAGAGUAUGCGAUAGAGAGUUUAAUGAUAAGACACUUAACUCCAUAUAAUUUUGAGGUGAAAUAAGUGCAUCGUUCAGUUCAUUCAAUUCAGUGCCCGAAAAGGGUUUGCCGAAGUCGCUUGCGUCGCUUAGAUACCAGAUGUCACAGUCUCAGAGGCUACGUGAUGAUGAUAUAUUGGAAAUAUUAGAGGAAGAA
Molecule: unclassified non-coding RNA, 426 nt
Filed under: Hermetia illucens (black soldier fly)
Lineage: Eukaryota; Metazoa; Arthropoda; Insecta; Diptera; Stratiomyidae
Description: uncharacterized LOC119652378, transcript variant X4
Source: RNAcentral